GGUGAUCGGUUUGUAUCGGCACGUCGGAUCCCUGCCCGGGCAGCGACGACGUCUCGAGCAAGCCUCUUCAGUUGUUGGCCCAAGCGCGCCACGCCUUGGCCGAUGUCGGUUUCCUGUGCGGAAUUCCUAACGGAUGGCAAUCUCUCGGCUACCAACGUCCCGCACUCCUCCCUUCGUCGCGGCUCCGCAAGGAGAUGCGGCGCGGGGRGGACGUCAAAGCCCCCGUCGUGUUUCGCUACCCACGCCCCCGCCCAGGCGGGCGCUCGGGYUGCCGACCCACGACGUCGUGCUCGAUCUCUCGGAUGCGGAAAACCAAGCGGCCACGAGGCYACGGCCUCUACUGUCCCUUAGAAGAGCGUUCUGCGCUCCCUGCGGACGACUGCCGAUCGGGUCUUGUUYCGGAGCCCGCGUGGCUCGGAUCAUGCCCGGCCGGCGUCGACGAGGAAUGCUACCUGGUUGAUCC
Molecule: unclassified non-coding RNA, 463 nt
Filed under: Melittis melissophyllum
Lineage: Eukaryota; Viridiplantae; Streptophyta; Magnoliopsida; Lamiales; Lamiaceae
Description: partial external transcribed spacer
Source: RNAcentral